Molecule: long non-coding RNA, 1241 nt
Organism: Phycodurus eques (leafy seadragon)
Lineage: Eukaryota; Metazoa; Chordata; Actinopteri; Syngnathiformes; Syngnathidae
Exons: 3
Source: RefSeq, a predicted model, not a curated record
GUGUGUGGGAGGGGGGGGGGGCAAGAAUGGUAAGAUAAGGAAGACAGGCAGGAGGGAAGCGCAAAGAGAAAAACAUUCAUGUAGAAAAGCGCUGAGUCAUCCUCCCCAUCUGUCUGUUUCCACCAUUUCCCUCCCUCUCUUACUUAGUGUCUUUGUCCUUGCACUAAAUCUUCCCUGCUAAGAGGCGGAAACUGACAGGCGCUUUGGUUCCAUCUUGAAUAAAAAGAGGGCGGGGGUGGAAGUGUUUCUUCACUGAAGAAAGUAGGGCCACAACUACUAAAAAGAGAAGCACAAAAGAGGCGGAACACAUUUUUUUCUCACAGCACACACAACAGGACUGCUGGCAUCCAUGCUUUUGGGAUCGAGGCCUCAGAAUGCAGCCGCCGCAACCUUCACCUCAAUUGUCCUCGGACACGAGGGGGCCUGAUCUGCUACGUUUUCAUUCGCUCGCCCUACAACCAGAGUCACAUCACGUCGACGAAGAACUCGCCGGUGUUGCCCACGGACAUUCGCAGGGACUGGCGUGACGCGGGUUGGAGGCGUGCUGGAGCCUAUCUUAGCUAUCUUCGGGCAAGAGGCGGGGUACACCCUGAACUGGUCACCAGCCAAUCGCAGAUUGGAGGCUUUGGGUUUCCGCCUGCGGCGUCUGUGUCGUCUCAUUAAACGAGAGGAACUCUGUUCUGUGGAGCUACUAAACCUGGGCAACAGAAGAGACAUAUCUCUGUGUGAAAAUACUCUUCCACAAGAGGCACUUAAUAGAUAAUUAUAGUGACCUCUGAAAAAAAAUUACACUUAAAGAUGGUGACUUUCAGUAUGCAAUGGAAACCUAAAGUUCAGGGGGUGGUCACUAAAAAGCUGUUGGCGGAGCAGUAGAACAAGCUUUCUUUCAAACUUCCUUGACUGUAAUUCCAGAGGUAUUCCGCUAACAAAACAUCUUUUGUCAUCGCUAAUUGUAAAGUACAACUCAACACUCUGAAAAGCAACAUCUGACCUGCUGGUAGCGUCAUCAUCCUCGGAAUCAAAGCAGGAAGUGGACUCCAGCUCGCUGCUCAUGAAAGAGGAGCAGCUGUCAUACUCCACCCCUCCGCGCCCCGCCGGCCGUGACGAGUACCCAUUCUGCCUACCACCUGUGGAGGAAACAAAGCAUCACGAGUGGGAGAACCUACUGCUUCGUCGAGACAAGACAAAAAGAGGAAUCCCAACGGAGAUAGCACACGUAGAUGUGAAGCUACAAAAUAAAA